RNAcentral lists this long non-coding RNA (213 nucleotides) under Elaeis guineensis (African oil palm). RNAcentral describes it as "long non-coding RNA (EGUI_LNC008429)". Lineage: Eukaryota; Viridiplantae; Streptophyta; Magnoliopsida; Arecales; Arecaceae. The record is from RNAcentral.
CAUGGACUUCAUCUCGAAUUUUAUGGCCUCCAGCCAUUUCUAGAAGUCGGGCCUUUGCAUAGCCUCUAUAUAGGUGAUUGGAUCCUCAUCAUUCUCAUCAAGUUCAAUGGGAUCACCGUCUCGAACCAAAAAACUAUAGUAUCUGUCGGACUGACGUGGUACUCUACCAGAUUUCCUUAAUGGUGCCUCUACUGGCUCCAGAUUUGAUUCACC